CGAAGGUUAAGCUUCAAAGCGCUGAUGGUACUGCAGGGGAGGCCCUGUGGAAGAGUAAGUCGUUGCCAGAUGAAUAUGAUUCACUAGCUCAGUUGGUAGAGCACAUGACUUUUAAUCAUGUUGUCCGGGGUUCGAUUCCCCGGUGGAUCACCAAAGCACUUUACAAAAUUGUAAAGUGCUUUUUAUUUUUCAAUAA
Molecule: transfer RNA, 196 nt
Filed under: Clostridium botulinum Bf
Lineage: Bacteria; Bacillati; Bacillota; Clostridia; Eubacteriales; Clostridiaceae
Description: tRNA-Ala
Rfam family: tRNA (bases 78-150)
Source: RNAcentral